This 226-nucleotide unclassified non-coding RNA is filed under the name uncultured fungus. RNAcentral describes it as "sequence contains ITS1, 5.8S rRNA gene". The stretch from base 178 to 226 matches the Rfam family "5.8S ribosomal RNA", at positions 1 to 49 of the family's 154-position model. The record is from RNAcentral. Lineage: Eukaryota; Fungi.
UCUCCGUAGGUGUACCUGCGGAGGGAUCAUUACUAAGUGAGGGCUUCGGUUCGACCUCCAACCCUUUGUGAACCAAACUUGUUGCUUCGGGGGCGACCCUGCCGCUUCGGCGGUGCGGCGCCACCGGAGGCCAUUAAACACUGCAUCAUUGCGUCGGAGUUAAAGUAAAUUAAACAAAACUUUCAACAACGGAUCUCUUGGUUCCAGCAUCGAUGAAGAACGCAGC